UACGGGGGGGGCAAGCGUUGUUCGGAAUUACUGGGCGUAAAGGGCUCGUAGGCGGCCAACUAAGUCAUACGUGAAAUCCCUCGGCUUAACCGGGGAACUGCGUCUGAUACUGGAUGGCUUGAGUUCGGGAGAGGGAUGCGGAAUUCCUGGUGUAGCGGUGAAAUGCGCAGAUAUCAGGAAGAACACCCGUGGCGAAGGCGGCUCUCUGGUACGUGACUGACGCUGAGACGCGAAAGCGUGGG
This 242-nucleotide ribosomal RNA is filed under the name uncultured bacterium. RNAcentral's name for it is "partial 16S ribosomal RNA". It matches the Rfam family "Bacterial small subunit ribosomal RNA", at positions 524 to 765 of the family's 1533-position model. The record is from RNAcentral.